This 490-nucleotide ribosomal RNA is filed under the name uncultured bacterium. RNAcentral's name for it is "partial 16S ribosomal RNA". It matches the Rfam family "Bacterial small subunit ribosomal RNA", at positions 30 to 507 of the family's 1533-position model. The record is from RNAcentral.
AUUGAACGCUGGCGGCAGGCCUAACACAUGCAAGUCGAACGGUAACAGGAAACAGCUUGCUGUUUCGCUGACGAGUGGCGGACGGGUGAGUAAUGUCUGGGAAACUGCCUGAUGGAGGGGGAUAACUACUGGAAACGGUAGCUAAUACCGCAUAACGUCGCAAGACCAAAGAGGGGGACCUUCGGGCCUCCUGCCAUCGGAUGUGCCCAGAUGGGAUUAGCUAGUAGGUGGGGUAACGGCUCACCUAGGCGACGAUCCCUAGCUGGUCUGAGAGGAUGACCAGCCACACUGGAACUGAGACACGGUCCAGACUCCUACGGGAGGCAGCAGUGGGGAAUAUUGCACAAUGGGCGCAAGCCUGAUGCAGCCAUGCCGCGUGUAUGAAGAAGGCCUUCGGGUUGUAAAGUACUUUCAGCGGGGAGGAAGGGAGUAAAGUUAAUACCUUUACUCAUUGACGUUACCCGCAGAAGAAGCACCGGCUAACUCCGUG